Molecule: ribosomal RNA, 735 nt
Filed under: uncultured Fusobacterium sp.
Lineage: Bacteria; Fusobacteriati; Fusobacteriota; Fusobacteriia; Fusobacteriales; Fusobacteriaceae
Description: bacterial SSU rRNA
Rfam family: Bacterial small subunit ribosomal RNA
Source: RNAcentral
GAUGAACGCUGACAGAAUGCUUAACACAUGCAAGUCAACUUGAAUUUGGGUUUUUAACUUAGAUUUGGGUGGCGGACGGGUGAGUAACGCGUAAAGAACUUGCCUCACAGCUAGGGACAACAUUUAGAAAUGAAUGCUAAUACCUGAUAUUACGAUUUUAAGGCAUCUUAGAAUUAUGAAAGCUAUAUGCACUGUGAGAGAGCUUUGCGUCCCAUUAGCUAGUUGGAGAGGUAACAGCUCACCAAGGCGAUGAUGGGUAGCCGGCCUGAGAGGGUGAACGGCCACAAGGGGACUGAGACACGGCCCUUACUCCUACGGGAGGCAGCAGUGGGGAAUAUUGGACAAUGGACCGAGAGUCUGAUCCAGCAAUUCUGUGUGCACGAUGAAGUUUUUCGGAAUGUAAAGUGCUUUCAGUUGGGAAGAAAUAAAUGACGGUACCAACAGAAGAAGUGACGGCUAAAUACGUGCCAGCAGCCGCGGUAAUACGUAUGUCACGAGCGUUAUCCGGAUUUAUUGGGCGUAAAGCGCGUCUAGGUGGUUAUGUAAGUCUGAUGUGAAAAUGCAGGGCUCAACUCUGUAUUGCGUUGGAAACUGUAUAACUAGAGUACUGGAGAGGUAAGCGGAACUACAAGUGUAGAGGUGAAAUUCGUAGAUAUUUGUAGGAAUGCCGAUGGGGAAGCCAGCUUACUGGACAGAUACUGACGCUAAAGCGCGAAAGCGUGGGUAGCAAACAGG